UGGGGAAUAUUGGACAAUGGGCGCAAGCCUGAUCCAGCCAUGCCGCGUGAGUGAUGAAGGCCCUAGGGUUGUAAAGCUCUUUCACCGGUGAAGAUAAUGACGGUAACCGGAGAAGAAGCCCCGGCUAACUUCGUGCCAGCAGCCGCGGUAAUACGAAGGGGGCUAGCGUUGUUCGGAUUUACUGGGCGUAAAGCGCACGUAGGCGGACUUUUAAGUCAGGGGUGAAAUCCCGGGGCUCAACCCCGGAACUGCCUUUGAUACUGGAAGUCUUGAGUAUGGUAGAGGUGAGUGGAAUUCCGAGUGUAGAGGUGAAAUUCGUAGAGAUUCGGAGGAACACCAGUGGCGAAGGCGGCGCACUGGACCAUUACUGACGCUGAGGUGCGAAAGCGUGGGGAGCAAACAGG
This 404-nucleotide ribosomal RNA is filed under the name Actinomycetes bacterium. Its description in RNAcentral is "Actinobacteria bacterium partial 16S ribosomal RNA". It matches the Rfam family "Bacterial small subunit ribosomal RNA", at positions 355 to 776 of the family's 1533-position model. Lineage: Bacteria; Bacillati; Actinomycetota; Actinomycetes. The record is from RNAcentral.